Molecule: long non-coding RNA, 496 nt
Filed under: Rattus norvegicus (Norway rat)
Lineage: Eukaryota; Metazoa; Chordata; Mammalia; Rodentia; Muridae
Description: long non-coding RNA NONRATT000826
Source: RNAcentral
UGUUACUGCCCCAGCAGAUGAGCUUCAUCACGUGGAAGGCACUAUUAUUCUGCACAUCGUGUUUGCCAUCAAACUGGACUGUGAAUUGGGCAGAGAACUGCUGAAACACUUGAAGGUCAGGGCAAACAUUUUUUUUUUCCUUAUGUCUUUUGCCUGCUAUCAGGACUCUUUUUCUCCUACUGGGUUGCAUCAUUCAUCCUUGAUAGAGGAUUUGUGCCUACUCCUACGGGAUCUUGUUGUACCAUGUUCAGUGAUAUCACUGGGAGGCCUGCUCUUUUCUGAAGAGAAACAGAGGAUCAGCGGGUUAUGGAGGAGAGGGAGGGAGAGGAACUGGGAGGAGUGGAAGGAGGGGAAACUCAUCAGGAUGUACUGUAUGAGAGCAGAAUAAAUUAAAAAACAAAAAUUUUGGGGUUGGGGAUUUAGCUCAGUGGUAGAGCGCUUGCCUAGGAAGCGCAAGGCCCUGGGUUCGGUCUCCAGCUCCGAAAAAAAAAAAGAA